UACGGAGGGUGCUAGCGUUGUUCGGAUUCAUUGGGCGUAAAGGGUGCGUAGGCGGCGAGGUAAGUCUGGUGUGAAAUCCCGGGGCUCAACCCCGGAACUGCACUGGAUACUGCUUUGCUAGAGUACUGGAGAGGGAACUGGAAUUUACGGUGUAGCAGUGAAAUGCGUAGAUAUCGUAAGGAAGACCAGCGGCGAAGGCGAGUUCCUGGACAGUUACUGACGCUGAGGCACGAAAGCCAGGGGAGCAAACGGG
Molecule: ribosomal RNA, 253 nt
Filed under: uncultured bacterium
Lineage: Bacteria
Description: partial 16S ribosomal RNA
Rfam family: Bacterial small subunit ribosomal RNA
Source: RNAcentral